This 73-nucleotide transfer RNA is filed under the name Cordylochernes scorpioides. RNAcentral's name for it is "tRNA-Val". Lineage: Eukaryota; Metazoa; Arthropoda; Arachnida; Pseudoscorpiones; Chernetidae. The record is from RNAcentral.
GUUUCUGUGGUGUAGUGGUUAUCACAUCCGCCUAACACGCGGAAGGUCCCAGGUUCGAGCUCUGGCAGAAACA